CGCGGAAUUUUAGCUGGUUCUUUUGCUAUGCCCAUAGGUAUGAGAAAAUGGCCUAUCAUCCUUAGCUAUAGUUCAUAAAGUUCAUGGCUUCCUGUUCCUUUAAACCUUGUUUUUAAUGCUGCAAUUGCUUUUGCUUUUAGAGUUAAGUUGAUGCAGAAACUAUGUGACAACAUAGGCGUUGUCCACCCCGGCAGUCAGAGGGUGGAGGAUGCCUGCAAGGAAAGAUAACCAAGAAAAUAAGAGAUAGAGAUGUUUUUCUGUUUUUCUGUAACUGUGAUAUCUUCUAGUCAGAGAAGCACUCAUACUCUGUACAUGCCUAAAUGCUUAGCUUCUUAUUGGUUGUUGCAUUUUCAGAACUGUAUUAUGAUUGGUGAGAAAGUUCUGCCAUGGUAUCUAAGGGGAACUGACUCUAUAAAUAUGUUGACAUUUCCUGAAAUUAUUGGGCAGUUUCCUCAGACUGCCACCUUGCAGCGCUGCUCGUAAUAAACCUUCUAAGGAGAGAGAAAUUGUGUCUUGAGAGUCUUUGACCACCACUCAGCGAACCACACAGGAACCCGUGGUUUCGGGUUCCGCCACAAUUUGGCGACGAGGACGGAUGAGUGGUACACUGGAGAGCCUCUGCUCAUGGAGACCUGACACAGGAAAUCCUCCAACGUGCGCACAGAUCAGGUGAGUAGGAACCACAUUAAAAUCCUACAACAGGAGGGCUUUCCUUGGUCAACUCUCCCUGUGGCUGGAGUUUUCUAGCGACUAUUAGUUCAACUCCAAAGAAAAAUGAGAAACAA
Elgaria multicarinata webbii is the source of this 785-nucleotide long non-coding RNA. RefSeq lists it as uncharacterized. The record is from RefSeq and is a predicted model, not a curated record. NCBI's taxonomy places the organism in Eukaryota, Metazoa, Chordata, Lepidosauria, Squamata, Anguidae. The transcript has 2 exons.